AGGAUCAUCUGCUGCUUAAUGGGGGAGAAGGGGGUCAGAGAGUGGGGUUCACUGCUCCAUACUUGGGGGCACUUAGCACCAAGUUAAAAUCCUGGGACUUCCAAGGUGAGCCCAUGCUUUUCACCCCAAUAAUGUUGCCUGAUCUAUACUUACCUGAGGUUUGUCCCUAAGGUGCGGAGUGAAUUUCUUCAUCUCUCCUCUCUCAAGAAAACAAAGUGGUUCCUGAGUUGAGCUCUUCUCUAGUGAAAAAGAGGCCAGACUGGAAGAAACCUGCCAUUCACAGCACUCCCAAGGAGAUGGCUAUGGGCUGGAGCCCAAGGCCCUCAAGAAGGACCUUCCAACACCACCAGUCCUUGAUAUCUGAAGAUUCCUUCCAGGACUCUGUGUCCCAGCUGGCAGGGGUCAGCCCCACAGCCACCUUCAGAAAAAGGCUUUCAACUGUUCAGGACUUGGAGAGUUCCAGUGAGCAGGUGGAGCCCCAUUCAGACCAUCUAGCUGCAGAGGAAGAACCACGCAUGUCAGCCUCAUUGAACAAGGAGCAGCUUCAGAAGACAGAGGCCCUGCAGGCAGCGAGCCGGCCAAGGAACUCAGGAAUGCCUGGGAUUCCAGACAGUCCCUGGCAGAGGAGACGGGACCCAAAGAAACAAGCAGCUGCAAUGCGACGCAUGCGGCAAUGGGAGGCCCAGAUGCUUCUGGAAAUUGAGGAGGCGGUUCAUCACGAGCUUACCAUCCAAGAAGGUGUCCCUAGUACUGGGAUCCCUGACCAAGCCCAGGAACCAUUCAACAUCAGCACAGUCAGUGUAGAUGCCCAAGACCCUGGUGCCCUGGCAUGACUUCCUUGUCUACACCACUCGUGCACACCAGCUGGUCCAGGACUGCAAACCAGAAGCUGCCACUGUGCAACUCCAGCAGCUGCAACUGUGAAGGGCAACUUUAGAUUUCACGUGACGUGAUGUUCUCUAUAGGUGAUCAUUUACUUUAUAUUUAAACAUCUGCAUGCUUUACAAGCCACUGCCUACUAAGCCUCCAUUUUCAUUUGUGUAAUUAUCUGGCUAUAAAAGCAGUCUUGUGAAAGUGUCAGAGCUUUAUUAAUUUUUCAAAUAAGACAGGGUACUAUUUUUAAAACCUGAUUAGAACUGUGUGACAUGGAGAUUGAAUACAUCAGAGAAAAG
Meriones unguiculatus (Mongolian gerbil) is the source of this 1172-nucleotide long non-coding RNA. RefSeq lists it as uncharacterized. The record is from RefSeq and is a predicted model, not a curated record. NCBI's taxonomy places the organism in Eukaryota, Metazoa, Chordata, Mammalia, Rodentia, Muridae. The transcript is spliced from 4 exons.